Molecule: long non-coding RNA, 217 nt
Filed under: Setaria italica (foxtail millet)
Lineage: Eukaryota; Viridiplantae; Streptophyta; Magnoliopsida; Poales; Poaceae
Description: long non-coding RNA (SITA_LNC000045)
Source: RNAcentral
UCACUAGGGCUGUCAACAAGCCGAGCUCGAGCGAGCCUGCUGCCUCAAGCUUGAGAUUGACAGAGUUUCAAGCCGAGCCUGAAAUCCAGCCGUGCUUACAAUUAGGCUCAAGCUCGGCUCGGCCAAAGCUCGAGUGAGCUCGAUAUGGUGAAGCACUGGAGCUUCGCUUGCUCCAGCACAAGCAAAGCGUGCAUGAAGAUUAAAAAAUGUGGUCUUU